UGGUGUGAGGGCAGUCUGUCAGUGAUAUCUCUCACACCAUUGAUGUCCAUGAUUGACUUGACUGGUGUUGCUGCUAGGCAAGUGUUCCCUUCCUCCCUUAUCACACUGCAUGCAUCAGUCCCAAAGAUGGACACUUGUCAGAGAGGACAACUUCCCCAAAUAGAGAAGGACCAGUCUUUGGCCAAGGGUAUACAAGUAGUUGCACUCCUCUGUUAGACCCUCCAAAUAGAGUCUCAAAGUUAUCUUUUAUUGUGUGCCUUCAUGUAGCCGUCUCACUCUCAAGGCACUCUUUUCCUCAGUUUCCCAUUGAC
Molecule: non-coding RNA, 311 nt
Organism: Cricetulus griseus (Chinese hamster)
Lineage: Eukaryota; Metazoa; Chordata; Mammalia; Rodentia; Cricetidae
Source: Rfam